Long non-coding RNA from Oreochromis niloticus (Nile tilapia), 4089 nucleotides. Lineage: Eukaryota; Metazoa; Chordata; Actinopteri; Cichliformes; Cichlidae. The record is from Ensembl.
UUAUGUCCAAUUUGCCAGUACUGCAGUUUGUGUGUAGUGAGGUGUUUUCAUGGUGUUUUAUUGGUGCUUUUACUAAAGGAAGGCUUCUAUCAAAUUCUUCCAAAUGUUGUCAAACUGAGCUGUGUGAUGAAGUGAGUGUGACAGAAACACUCAGACUGUGUUUCUCUGCUUCAUCAAGUCAAAUCUGGUCCUCAGAGACUGAAUAAAGUCCUGUCCCACUAACAGCAGCUCCAACAGUCUGUUCACUGCUUUCUUCCUGUCAGUCUUCAUCUUUCUGCUGCGUCUCCUCUUCACACUGACCACUUUCUAUCUAACAGUGAGCUCCCAGUGAAGCAGCAGCAUUCAGCCUGUUAGAGUCAACACAAAUGUCUCCAUCCAAGCUCAUGUUGUGCUUUGUUGUCCUCUCAGUCCCCCAGGUGGAGGUGGAUUCAGGGGUGGAGUCUGUCCAGCUGCCCUUCAACACCACACUUCACCUGCCUGAAGACGCUAAAGUGGAGUGGAAGAAUAAUUACGAUACAAAAGUCCACAUGUAUGAGAACGGCUCUGACCAGCCUGAAGAACAGCACCAGUUUUACAGAGACCGAACGAAGAUGAAUGAAGACCUGCUGAAAACUGGAGACCUCAGUCUGACCCUGAAACACCCCACAGAAACAAAGACCUACACCUGCACCGUCUACAGCAGGGAGGGAAACAUCCUGCUGAAGAGAAAGGUGGAGCUGAAAGUCAGAGUCUGUCAGGUGGAGGUGGAUUCAGGGGUGGAGUCUGUCCCGCUGCCCUUCAAAUCCACAGAAAACCUGCCUGAAGACGCUAAAGUGGAGUGGAAGGAUGGGAGAUCCAGAACAGUCCACGUGUAUAAGAACGGCUCUGACCAGCCUGAAGAACAGAACCAAGUUUACAGAGACCGAACAAAGAUGAAUAAAGACCUGCUGAAAACUGGAGACCUCAGUCUGACCCUGAAAUACCCCACAGACUGGGACAGCGAAGAUUUCAUAUGUGAAGUUUGGAGGAGUGGAAACAUCCUUAGAACAAAAUCACUGCUGCUCAAAGUCAAAGUCUGUCAGGUGGAGGUGGAGGAGGGGGCGGAGUCUGUCCAGCUGCCCUUCAAAACCACACAAAACCUGCCUGGAGAUGUUAGAGUGGUUUGGGAAUGCAAAGAGCCUGAACCAGUAAUGUUGGUCCAUGUAUAUGACAAUGGCUCUGACCAGCCUGAAGAACAGCACCAGGUUUACAGAGACAGAACGAAGAUGAACGAAGACCUGCUGAAAACUGGAGACCUCAGUCUGACCCUGAAACAGCCCACAGAGAGAGACAGUGGAGGAUAUGCAUGCUACGUUGUGAGGAAUCGAGCUGUGGUUCGAAGGAAGAGAGUGCAGCUCAAAGUCAAAGGGAGAGUUCAGGUUCAGGAUCAAACAGGGGACAUCAGGAACAGAAGCAGCUCCAUUGAUCCGACUCCUCUGAUGGCUGAUCAAUCAGUUUGAUCUGUGUGUUCUUUGAUUAUUGAUCAGUGAUGUCAGAGUGGAGUCAGUGUGAUGUUGUUGUUGUGUGUUUGAGACUUUUAGUGUCCAUGAAGGUCUCUGCUGCCGUAGAUCCUCUGAACUGUGACAGAGGUCUCACUCUGGAGGAAACUCUCAGCACUUUCCAGCAGCUCCUCCAUCAUGGAGGACGUUCCCUCACUGUAACAGGUGGAGGAGAGAGGAGAGGAAGCACAGGUGGAUCCUCUGAGGAAGAGGAGCGUUCCUACAAACCACAUGAUCACAUGACCAGAGGACAAGCAUGUGUAGAAACCUACAUCUGUCUCCAGCAGCUGUCUGAGCUGCAGUCUGUAUUGUGUGUGUAAUAUCUUCAUAUGUUUCUAAUAUUACAGUUUUAUCUUCAGGUGUAAAAUCAGCUGCUCUGCUGUCUUAUCCCCUGAUCCUGUGUGAUUGAUUAAUCCUGCAAACGCCACAAAUUUCAUUUCAGCUUUUAUUUGAAAGCUGAAACCUUGAAGGCUUUACAUGUGUUGGAUAUGAAUGUUUGGAGCCCAGAUCAUCAUUUGUCUUGUUUCAGUGGGAAUGUUUUUCUCCAUGUUGGCCUGAGGGUGGUGCUGUUUAGCCUGUACUGAGUAUUUGUCACUAUGCUGAGUUGUGGGUGGAGUCAGUGAUUGGCUGAAGGUGCCUUCUUUAAAGCGGGAACACUGGCUCAGCUUUCCUACCUCCUUACUCCCAGCUGGACCACGCUGCAUCAACAAGUGAUUGUCUGUGUGUGGAAGAGUGAUGCCAUUGUACACACUGUAAAUAUCUUCUUCUUCUUCAGCUGUGUGGGUGGAGAAGCUUUUCUGUUAGGGAGACGGUGUCCUUCUCACCUUCAGACAUGAGAUUAGAAAGAGAGAGAGUUCAGAUUACAGUGCAGAUAUGAAUGAAUGAAUCCGUGCUCGUCCUCACGGCUCCUGCAUGCUUUUAAAAAAGUGUGUGUUCAGCUCUGAUCUCCAAUCUGUUCUUUUCUCUCUUUGUUUCUUUCCUGGCUUCAUGAUCAUCAUCACACCGUCUGAGGCUCCUAAAUAUCCAUGUUUGCUUGUUUCACUCUCACAGUUGAACUCUGGGAGUCAAAGAUGUUUCAGCUCCAAACUCACUGAGAGCUCCUCGUGCCCACCACGUGACCAAAAACAUCUUUGUGCUCACGUGCUGCACGUGUCUGAGACACUUUAGUUUGAAGGAGACAAACUGCAGACGCAGCAUUUCCUGUUCCUGAGUGUAAACCUGAGCAUUUGAAAUGAGCUCCACAGGGGAAGCUGUAGGUGACAGAGAUACUCACAGACUCACUGACGUUACAGUCUGUUAGCAUCACGCAGUAUCACAGACACACGGGAAGAUUUAGUGCAAGUGCUGAGAGACACACAGCAGACAUAUUGACUGGAAACAUAUCAGACUGAAAUAAAGCAGAAGCACAUGUUAGCACAUGCUAAUAUGAUGUGGAUGUGUUUAGUGUGGGAGCAGGACUCACCUGAGACACACCUGUGUGGAUGAUGCUGCUUCCUGCUCUGCUCUUUCUGCUGAUUCAGCUUCUUCAUCACGUCUGAGGCUCUGUCACAGUUUGUUUGUCAACAUCAUCAUGGACACAACACAAGCACAUUUAUUUGACAUGUGAGUUUCUAUGAUUGUGAUUGAUGUGGAUGUAGAUGACAAAGAUGAUGAUAGAGAAGGGAUAUUGUACAUGUGUUCAGAUGAUGUAUGCAAACAGUCAUAACCUGGCUGUGACGUGUGUGGGGGAUUAAAAUUUUCCAAAAUGCAGUAAAUUAGGAUGACAGAAAUGAUGGCACCUCUGUUUUCACGUGAGCUAAAGCUACAGGUGUCACAUCAAACACUCACAGGGAAAACACCAAUCACAGCACGCACACAUAUACUGAACAUUACAGAGAGAAUUAUUAGAGAUCGACUCCGUUAUGAGCCUUCUUUUAAUAUCGAUGCCUGUUAAAAAUUUAUAACAGCCCUAAACAUGUCUUCAUUACAACAUGCAUCAGUCUAGUGUUUAUAAAUGAAUCUUUUUGUGCUACUGUCAGUAAUGCUGUAUAACGAGUUAAAGUGCUGCUAAAGUUAAACUCAGUGUGGUAUUUUCCAAAACUAUGGUGUCAUUGUGAUAGUUGCAGGCAAUGUUGGGUGUAACUGUAAUUAAAUUACUUUUCCACUGAAAAAGUAGAGUAACUAAUUACUAUUCAUUUUUAGGAAUUUUAAUUACAGUUACUUACAAUGUAUUUGUGUUACAUUGUAAAAUAAUUAAAUAAUAAAUAAAUAAAUAAUUAAACUCGCUGAAUAUCAUUAUUUAAGCAGGCAAAACUUGAUUUUACUUCAGCAGCACAGAAAGCGUCUGAAGGUGAGCUUAAAAAAUGAUUGCAGGCUACAUUGUGGAACAGAUGCUACCGCUGCGUACUGUAGAGUCUCCGUCUUUGAAAAAAAUUAUUUAUUAUUUAAAGAGUUUAAUUUCUAUUGUUUGUCCACUCAAGGUUUAUAGGGAUUUUAAGAAGUAUUUAGUUUAAUUACUUAUUUAGUAAUUAACUAACCCAAAACUGGUUGCAGGGCAUUGCGUUAAAAAAAAGUGUGUUGUACAGCUCUUUCC